CUAGUUUGAAAAAAAAAAAAACUAAAAAAAACAAAACAAACUUGUCUGCUGUGAGUUUGAUCAUGGUCCCUUUAAACAGUUCGCUCAUAUGUUACAAAACUGUAAAAUAUGGGUGCUACCAAAAUACAGAAAC
Long non-coding RNA from Salarias fasciatus (jewelled blenny), 133 nucleotides. RefSeq lists it as uncharacterized. The record is from RefSeq and is a predicted model, not a curated record. NCBI's taxonomy places the organism in Eukaryota, Metazoa, Chordata, Actinopteri, Blenniiformes, Blenniidae. The transcript has 3 exons.